AACCUGAUGGACUGAAGGGCAGUGGGGAGGGAGCACGUCUGCACUGGCCAGGAGGGCUGUCCCCCACUCCCUGGGGGACUCCAGAGUGCAGAGGGGGAAACUGAGGCAUGAGCUACAACUCAGCAAAUGAAAAAGGUUACUUUUGAAUUCAAAACUAGCUUUCUCUUACUGAGAGAUUAAUUCUGUAACCGCUGCUUAUCCAUGCAGGUCCAGCAAAGCUGGAAAGGGAGAAGGCCCAGACAUGCUGUCAACAUGAUGUUCUACUUCUCUGCUCAAGCAGAAGUUACCAACUACCCUGUUCUCUUUCAUUUGGGGCCAGACUUGUGUCUGAGAUGGAGAAACAUGGAGAAAUCAUGCAGCAUGCUGGGGAAAGUGAGGCUUGUAUCCUGAUAGAGUAGGAUGUGACUGGAAGCACUGGGGGAUAACUACUGAUCUGCAACUUAGAUUUAAUUUGAUGAAUUGUUAUCAUCUCUAAAGCCAAAUAUCUGGGGUCAAUUCUGAGAGGUCCAAGCCCAAGAAGAGCUGAUCAUUCUUGCUGAGAGAAGGGCAGCUUGCUAACUUUCUUCCCUCCUGCAUUACCCCCUCAGCUGCAGCCCACCUGAAACCACAGCACGUGCCCCUCAAUUCAGUGCUCAGGGCUGUUUAAACUUCUUUGUCUUUGUAAAGCAAACUGGUGACAGGCAAUAGAGUGGCAGCAGACUAGUACAGAGGUCAGGAACGAGGCCAUGGUGUGAGGUGACUUGUAGCUAUGACAGGAAUACAUAAGACAGUUUUCAUAUAUAAUUGUUAUGAAAAAUAAAUGGAAAUGUUGAUACAGAUUUGAAGACACUACUGCCAAUUGCCUGUGCGACACUAAUCAAAGGUUAAAGAAAGCAUAAUCAAAAUGCAGUUAAAGUAAAAACAAAUGCACAAGGUAUCUGUAGUAGCAAUAUUAAAUUCUCUAUCUAAUUCAAUAAUCAAACUGCCAUGUGAGUUUGUCAACCUCAACAAGCCAGUCAAGGAUAGACAUCCCUUUAUAAGCUCCCCAGGUGAGAAGCACACUGAAAUCAGGUGUCAGCUGAAGCCUCGUAUUUGCUUGUCUCCAGCUAAGGUGAUGCAGACUUAUGUGUUCAGGUGAUGGUCACCCCAGCCUGCCCAGCACAGGUAAACACAUACAGGUUUCCAGUGGUAGUUUCUCUCUUUGAAUUCUGUCCCAAAGAUGUGCAUCUUGCAGGUCAGGAGUUAGAGUUGGGGUGAUUUAGAUGGAGAGGAUCAGGCACUGUCACCUCCCCGUGGCACUAUCCUGUUCUGAUACAACAAUUGCUCUCUAAAUUGUCAGCUACGUUUUCAGCUGCUGAAAUAAAUCAGCUGGGGGAUGGCUCUCAAAUAUUUAAAAAAAAAUGUUAAGGUAAAUAUGUUUCUACAUAAGAUCUGGAUCCUUCACCUGCAUUCACCUUUAACAAACCCGGGUGUAUCAUAUCUGUGUAUAUGUGUACUACACUGAUUUGGAAAAAAAAGAAGAAUCAAAUAGAACUGAGCAGCCUCUUGUUUGCUCUAAAUUACACUGAUUUUUUUUUUUCAAUAUCGCCAUAAUAAUUUUUAAUACUGCUUGUAUAUUGUCAUAGCAUAGACUCUGGUGUCAGGUUAACUAACAGGAGCUGUCCCAGAAAUGAUUCUUACUCCUCUCAGAACACACUGCAUGCCAUGUAAGUGGCACUUAGCUCAUGCACUGACAUUCAGCCAGGAGAACAGAACAGGUUUGUUUCUGGAAAAAUCCAUUAUCCUCAUCAUAACUUACAGCACCUGUUUAACUAACUUGUUUAGGCAGCUGAUAAAUAGCUGUCUGGAUUUCAGGAGACAGGGUCUGGGGGAGUUGUAUGGACAGAGGUGUGUGCUGCUUGAUGGGCUUGGGGAGAACACUGGAUGUCAACAAGAUCCCUCCUCGCACAGCAGGACUGGGCAAUGGGGCAGACAGAUCCCAACCUGGUAACUUUUUGUUGUCUGUGGGGCAGAUACCAGGUAUCACACAGCACUACCUUAACCACUGUCACACUUGAACACCUUUACAGUUGGCUUUGAGAACUAGUUGAAAAAAUCAGGUCCAUGUAAUACUUUUAUAAAAAUAGUCAUUAAAAAUGUGCCUAAAAAUGUAUCUAAGAGUAGAGAAGGUGAACUUCGAAGAACAAAAUCUAAAGAAAAUCAAUUAUUUCUAAUUCACAGACAGAGAACUGAAGCAAAAUUUUGUGACUUUUCAUCACAUCAGGUUUGCACUGUGUGGGAUCAGGAAUGGGAGCUGCAUGAGCAGAGCAGAGAAAGGAGAGCUGGCGAUGGACUCGCCCUGCUGCUUGGUCAGGAGAGGCUGGUUCUCUGCAAACAGGACACCUGACUCCCUCACCCUCCAGAAGAGAGAGCCAAGGAGCACAUACACUGAUGUUGGGAAGGAUGGAGGUGAAAGGACCACUGCUAGUAAUGUACACUCAUAUCCUUUGUUAAAAUGUCUGUGGAAAGCUAGUGCUGAUCCAGAACUUUCUAAAGGGAAAGUUAUUGGAAAGUGUUGAUUUAAAAAAAAAUCAAAGAUUGAUUUUGGAAUCACAGGGUUAAAUUGACUUUGUUGACAUCUUCACUGAAACUUAUCCAACCUUUGUGUUCUAAUUAUCUUAUUACUUAUAAAUCAAUAUAAAUUGAAAAUAUACAACAGUGUAAAUAUACAAGAAGAUAAA
Long non-coding RNA from Pipra filicauda (Wire-tailed manakin), 2699 nucleotides. RefSeq lists it as uncharacterized. The transcript has 2 exons. NCBI's taxonomy places the organism in Eukaryota, Metazoa, Chordata, Aves, Passeriformes, Pipridae. The record is from RefSeq and is a predicted model, not a curated record.